RNAcentral lists this transfer RNA (95 nucleotides) under Schizophyllum commune. RNAcentral describes it as "tRNA-Leu". It matches the Rfam family "tRNA". Rfam says of the family: Transfer RNA (tRNA) molecules are approximately 80 nucleotides in length. Their secondary structure includes four short double-helical elements and three loops (D, anti-codon, and T loops). RNAcentral also lists the same sequence under 2 other names. Lineage: Eukaryota; Fungi; Basidiomycota; Agaricomycetes; Agaricales; Schizophyllaceae. The record is from RNAcentral.
GGCGAGAUGGCCGAGCGGUCUAAGGCGCUAGAAUCAGGACUUCACGAGUUCUAAUCUAGUCUUUCGGGGCGGGGGUUCGAAUCCCCCUCUCGUCA